RNAcentral lists this ribosomal RNA (475 nucleotides) under uncultured bacterium. RNAcentral's name for it is "partial 16S ribosomal RNA". It matches the Rfam family "Bacterial small subunit ribosomal RNA", at positions 28 to 523 of the family's 1533-position model. The record is from RNAcentral.
GGUGGACGCUGGCGGCGUGCUUAAGACAUGCAAGUCGAACGCAGUCUUCGGACUGAGUGGCGCACGGGUGAGUAACACGUAACUGACCUACCCCCAAGUCGCGGAUAACUGGCCGAAAGGUCAGCUAAUACGUGAUGUGAUGUCCCCUUUCUGGGGGGCCAUUAAAGGUUUACUGCUUGGGGAUGGGGUUGCGUUCCAUCAGCUAGUUGGCGGGGUAAAGGCCCACCAAGGCAACGACGGAUAGCCGGCCUGAGAGGGUGGCCGGCCACAGGGGCACUGAGACACGGGUCCCACUCCUACGGGAGGCAGCAGUUAGGAAUCUUCCACAAUGGGCGAAAGCCUGAUGGAGCGACGCCGCGUGAGGGAUGAAGGUUCUCGGAUCGUAAACCUCUGAAUCAGGGACGAAAGACGCGUAAGCGGGAUGACGGUACCUGAGUAAUAGCACCGGCUAACUACGUGCCAGCCGCCGCGGUAA